Regulatory RNA element from Paenibacillus larvae subsp. larvae DSM 25430, 185 nucleotides. It matches the Rfam family "PyrR binding site". From Rfam's summary of the family: This family represents the PyrR binding site and terminator structure. This RNA structure is found upstream of a variety of genes involved in pyrimidine biosynthesis and transport. The record is from Rfam. NCBI's taxonomy places the organism in Bacteria, Bacillati, Bacillota, Bacilli, Caryophanales, Paenibacillaceae.
AGUACCUUUAACAGACAGUCCAGAGAGGCUGGCAAGGUAAACGACGAUAAGAGUACUCAUCAGCAUGCGUGCUGGUGAAUACCCUGAAGGGCACGCUGUGCCUAUCAGGGGAGCUGCUCCAUAUAUUUUCGUGUGCACAUAAGAGUGUAAAACUCCUUGCCGCCAGGGCAAGGAGUUUUUUUGUU